UGAGAUAUGGUGUAAUGGUAGCACUACAGAUUUUGGUUCUGUCUGUAGAGGUUCGAAUCCUCUUAUCUCAA
Molecule: transfer RNA, 71 nt
Filed under: Bacteroidales bacterium
Lineage: Bacteria; Pseudomonadati; Bacteroidota; Bacteroidia; Bacteroidales
Also listed under: 3 other names
Description: tRNA-Gln
Rfam family: tRNA
About the family: Transfer RNA (tRNA) molecules are approximately 80 nucleotides in length. Their secondary structure includes four short double-helical elements and three loops (D, anti-codon, and T loops). Further hydrogen bonds mediate the characteristic L-shaped molecular structure. tRNAs have two regions of fundamental functional importance: the anti-codon, which is responsible for specific mRNA codon recognition, and the 3' end, to which the tRNAs corresponding amino acid is attached (by aminoacyl-tRNA synthetases). tRNAs cope with the degeneracy of the genetic code in two manners: having more than one tRNA (with a specific anti-codon) for a particular amino acid; and 'wobble' base-pairing, i.e. permitting non-standard base-pairing at the 3rd anti-codon position.
Source: RNAcentral